CUCCUUCAGUUUUUUUCCUCCAAGUUCAUAUCGACACUGCUUCAUCUUCUCACAGUCCACCAUCACCAUCUCCACCAGCAUCAAUCUCCACCACCAUCACCAUCCACAAUUAGUAUUGAUUGAGGAACAGAGUGAACUAUUGUUCAAUUUCAGUGUGUUCCGUCGAUUAUUCCCUCCUUUCUCCGUUCUCGAUCUUUCUCCUCUCCAUCGAACUCUUCUUCCUUCGAGAAUUUAUCAUCUUCAUCAAGUAACAGUACUGAUUCCAGGAAAACCAACACAAAAUUUAAACCUAAAUUUCGUUAUUACGAUCCCAGUCAAACUUAACCCUAAAUUUCUGCUGAAGUUUUGGAAAAUUGGGAAUUUUUUGGACGAAGAACUUGAGAAGUGAAUGAAGGGAGUUUUCGCAACGAAGCAGUGAAUGAAAAUUUGAAAGAGAAAUUGAUAGAUCUGAUAUGAGUUAUGAUUCUUCUAGAGCAUGUGGUGUAAGGAUAUGGAAGAAAAAACAACUUAAAGUCAAUAGUCAAAAGCCAUUCAACCUUAGAACUGAGCAAAGAGGGAAACAUAAAGAAGAGGUAUUCGUAAAGAAAGUACAAGAAAUGUUUACAGAAGAGGACAAGCAACGUAUACCCGUUGCGCAAGGCCUUCCAUGUACAACGAAAGAACCAUAGCAAAAUAGACCUCUAAAUGCUCAAAACGUUGCUGAUGCUUUGCAAAAGACUACAACAGGAUUUAGAAGAAAAAAUUAGAGCAACCGGCGAGGUUGAAGGAGGAGGAACUUGGAAUUGAAUACGACGAAGAUGUUGGUGUAAGCUUGCAGUCGUGAGUGAGUUAAUGCCUCAAAAUAAGAAGCGAGGAAGAGGUCAGUAAAACUUGGAAUUGAAAUGAUGAAGAUGUUGGUGUAAGCUUCCAGUUGUUAGGUGAGUUAAUGACUUGAUCAAAGUAAGUAGGAUGUCAGUAACUUUUGUUCAAUGCUGCAUUACGGAUAUAACUAAUCUGUUGCGCAGUUAACAAGGGUUUGUUAGCUUUGUCUUGUUGUAAAUAUUUAAUGGCGUCAAGUGGUUUUGAUUUUCAUCCUCUUGAAAAUCAAGUUUCAGUUGGAUCAAGUUUUUCUUUCAAAUUAUGAGUGAUCAUCAUCAUCAUACAACAGAACUUUAAAUAUCUCAGAACUGCUUAGAUUUACGACACAAACUUAAAUCUAUCAUGUUGGAAAACAUAAUAGAUACAUAAAUAUUUAUAUGAUAGUAUUUUAUCGAUUUGUACAUGGAGUGGAUGUUGAACACCCAUUUGUAAAGAAAAGGAAGUGAAUAAUUUGCUGGUGUA
This is a long non-coding RNA of Papaver somniferum (opium poppy), 1320 nucleotides long. RefSeq lists it as uncharacterized. The record is from RefSeq and is a predicted model, not a curated record. The transcript is spliced from 5 exons. NCBI's taxonomy places the organism in Eukaryota, Viridiplantae, Streptophyta, Magnoliopsida, Ranunculales, Papaveraceae.